RNAcentral lists this transfer-messenger RNA (373 nucleotides) under Caldora sp. SIO3E6. It matches the Rfam family "transfer-messenger RNA". From Rfam's summary of the family: Bacterial tmRNA, also known as 10Sa RNA or SsrA, is named for its dual tRNA and mRNA-like properties. Its role is to liberate the mRNA from a stalled ribosome. Lineage: Bacteria; Bacillati; Cyanobacteriota; Cyanophyceae; Coleofasciculales; Coleofasciculaceae. The record is from RNAcentral.
AUUGGUUUCGACGUGUUGGCGAAAGCUGUUGAGUGAUACAGGUCGAGAGUGAGUCUUCUCUCGCAAAUACCGGGCUCAAACAAAAAAGUAACUGCGAACAAAAUCGUUCCUUGUGUGACCAGAUAGGUCACUCACCCCGUAGGGAAUAACCCCUACCCCUCUGACUCUUGAGGGUAAACCCGGUUCCCAAGCCGAGGAUGGCACCACGGUUUGAAACAGUGAACCAGAAACGACGGAUGGAGUGAACUCACACAAAAUCCUGACACAAGGGUAAGAGCCUAAGAUGAACGCACAGUGAAUCUAGUAACGAAGUGUCGUCAGAUUUUAACGGGGGAACGAGUUGAAACCCCGAAGUCCAAAACACGGACAUGGA